ACGCGAAGAACUUACCUGGGCUCGAAGCACAGUGGACCGGGGUAGAAAUAUCCCUUUUCGCAAGAACUGCUGUGGAGGUGCUGCAUGGCUGUCGUCAGCUCGUGUCGUGAGAUGUUGGGUUAAGUCCCGCAACGAGCGCAACCCUUAUCGUUAGUUGCCAGCGAGUCAAGUCGGGCACUCUAGCGAAACCGCCCCGGAUAACGGGGAGGAAGGUGGGGAUGACGUCAAGUCCUCAUGGCCUUUAUGUCCAGGGCUACACACGUGCUACAAUGGUCGGUACAAACCGUCGCAAACCUGCGAAGGGGAGCUAAUCGGAAAAAGCCGGCCUCAGUUCGGAUUGGAGUCUGCAACUCGACUCCAUGAAGCUGGAAUCGCUAGUAAUCGCGGAUCAGCACGCCGCGGUGAAUACGUUCCCGGGUCUUGUACACACCG
RNAcentral lists this ribosomal RNA (432 nucleotides) under uncultured bacterium. RNAcentral's name for it is "bacterial SSU rRNA". It matches the Rfam family "Bacterial small subunit ribosomal RNA", at positions 959 to 1392 of the family's 1533-position model. The record is from RNAcentral.